GGGGUUGUGGCUCAGUGGUAGAGCACUUGCUUAGCAUGCAUGAGGCACUGGGUUUGAUCCCCCAAACCACA
RNAcentral lists this transfer RNA (71 nucleotides) under Ictidomys tridecemlineatus (thirteen-lined ground squirrel). RNAcentral describes it as "Spermophilus tridecemlineatus (thirteen-lined ground squirrel) tRNA". It matches the Rfam family "tRNA". Rfam says of the family: Transfer RNA (tRNA) molecules are approximately 80 nucleotides in length. Their secondary structure includes four short double-helical elements and three loops (D, anti-codon, and T loops). Further hydrogen bonds mediate the characteristic L-shaped molecular structure. tRNAs have two regions of fundamental functional importance: the anti-codon, which is responsible for specific mRNA codon recognition, and the 3' end, to which the tRNAs corresponding amino acid is attached (by aminoacyl-tRNA synthetases). tRNAs cope with the degeneracy of the genetic code in two manners: having more than one tRNA (with a specific anti-codon) for a particular amino acid; and 'wobble' base-pairing, i.e. permitting non-standard base-pairing at the 3rd anti-codon position. RNAcentral also lists the same sequence under 1 other name. The record is from Rfam by way of RNAcentral. Lineage: Eukaryota; Metazoa; Chordata; Mammalia; Rodentia; Sciuridae.